GAUGAACGCUGGCGGCGUGCCUAACACAUGCAAGUCGAGCGAUCUUCUUCGGAAGAGAGCGGCGGACGGGUGAGUAACGCGUGGGUAACCUGCCCUGUACACACGGAUAACAUACCGAAAGGUAUGCUAAUACGGGAUAAUAUGCUCUUAUCGCAUGGUAGAAGUAUCAAAGCUCCGGCGGUACAGGAUGGACCCGCGUCUGAUUAGCUAGUUGGUAAGGUAACGGCUUACCAAGGCGACGAUCAGUAGCCGACCUGAGAGGGUGAUCGGCCACAUUGGAACUGAUACACGGUCCAAACUCCAACGGGAGGCAGCAGUGGGGAAUAUUGCACAAUGGGCGGAAGCCUGAUGCAGCAACGCCGCGUGAGCGAUGAAGGCCUUCGGGUCGUAAAGCUCUGUCCUCAAGGAAGAUAAUGACGGUACUUGAGGAGGAAGCCCCGGCUAACUACGUGCCAGCCGCCGCAGUAA
Molecule: ribosomal RNA, 468 nt
Filed under: uncultured bacterium
Lineage: Bacteria
Description: partial 16S ribosomal RNA
Rfam family: Bacterial small subunit ribosomal RNA
Source: RNAcentral